AAUAACUUCAAUUUUUGUUUUUCCAUGUCCAACGUUUGACCAUUCGUCUUAUUUGAAAUUUUUUUACGAUUAAUAUUUUUUUAUUACUAGAUGAUAAAAUAUGAAUAGUACUUUAUACGUGACUAAUUUUUUAAAGUUUGUUUUACAAAUUUUUUAAAUAAAACGAAUGGUUAAAUAUUAGAUACGAAAAAGAAAAAUAACACUGUUA
This is a non-coding RNA of Oryza brachyantha (malo sina), 208 nucleotides long. NCBI's taxonomy places the organism in Eukaryota, Viridiplantae, Streptophyta, Magnoliopsida, Poales, Poaceae. The record is from Rfam.